UCAAACAGAAAAACUUGAUUUAUUUAAAACUUCAAUAUUGUUUUUGAAAUUGAGUCUUGAUUCGCGACUUAAAAGAAUAGAUUCACUAUCCUGAUAAUCUAACCUUUCCUUUUUAUAUUUUAUCGCGUUGAAAGAGACGAGUUUUCAAAUCAACGCACUUGAAAAUCGCUCAAAAAUCUAACUCUCUACUCUAAAAUUUAGCUUUUAUAUUUCUCUUCCUACUCCUAACUUGGGUCCCUUUUCCCCCAAUUACUCUGUCAUCCAAUUACAGCAUACGGUUUGGAGUCCAUGUUAUGUUUUAUUACCAAUCACAUUCAUUCUCUGCCCAUUUUUUCAGGUACCAUCUUGGAUUUUUACACAUGAUUCACUCAACAUUUCCGCAACGUAUUUUCUUAAAAUGAGUCAUAAUAAUUGCGUUUUACUAAUGCAUGGUUUCCCUAAUAUUUUAUUUUUGAACAAUUUUCACCCUCUUUUGAUUGACAUAUAAAAUUUCUCUCACAAGAUUUCUAGUCUUUUACGCAGUAUUCUUGUUUUUUCUGAGAAUUUCUAUGAUUUAUCCCUUUUAUUACCUCAAUUUUAUGGAUUUAUUUAUUUAAUACGCAAAAGAUUUUGCGUUUAGAGACACCUGCACAUUUAUUAUGAAUUUUAUCUCUUUAUUUGUGAAUAUUUUACGACUUGAAAUUUUAUUAUUCUACGUUUUAUCCUAAAUUAAAUGUUGAUUACAUUUCUUUAUUUUAUGCGUAUAAUUUUAUUAUAAUUAUAAUUUUAUAAUUAUCAAGACUCAAUUUUUUUUUUCUGCAGCGAAGCUUAACAAGUACUCGUAUUCACCUAGAACAAUCCUCUAGAGAAAAGGGGAAACUGCAGAAAACCCUUUCUGAGUACUUAUCUAAAAAUAAUUAUUAACAUUAAUUAUUAAAUUACUUGAAUAUUUUCUUUAUGAAUUUUAUAAUCUUAACCCAAUUUGUUUGUACCCAACGUUUAACUUUUCAUUAUUUUAUUUUAUUAUUAUUUAUUUAUAAGAUUCUAAUUUCAAUAAUCACUCUAAUUGUUUUAUUAAGAUUAUUAUAUAUAAUCUCAAAUCGAUUUUUAAAAUUAAAUAUAUACAUAUUAUUUUCUAAAUAUUUAUUUUUGUGAAUAAGUCGGCUCAAAAUCCAUAAAUCAGACCAUUUUUGCAACAAUUUACAUAUAUAAAUUACCAUUUAUAUUUUACAUUCACAUUUUACGUUAUGUUACGUAAGUUUUUACAUUUUCUCAUAAUGUUAUUGUAGAAUCGGCCUUCGGGAAGCACUCCCAACCUCUAAACAGUGACCCAACCUAGACCUGACAAUGUUACACUCUCCCCCUUAUAGAAAAAAUUCGAUCUCAAGAGCGAAUUUUUUUUCAAUAUUAUACUAUAUAAUAAUAAAUAAUAUAAUGAGUGAAAUGGUGCUCGAAAGGAACUAUUUGUGCAUUCUUUUCGUUAUUGUUUUGGAUUAUUGUUGGCCAAUAUUUCAUCAGAUAAGCAUAAUUUUAUACAUAAUUCUUUAGAUCCCCUUUUAUAAUCUCUUUGGAAUCCCGGGACCAAGUUAAUUUUUUGUAAAAAAAAAAGGCUGUUUUCUACGUUUUUAUAACAAUAUUUUAUUAGUAAGUAUAUUGUUUUGUGCUUCCUCGUCAUGUCAUUGUUUUAUCCUAACCCCCCUUUUUUCUGAAGCCAAUUAUUUCUAAACCCGUAUUCAAAAGAAGAAUUUCUGGUCCAAAAUACAAAAUGGAAUAUCCCAUAUGUCAUCAGAAACCAUUGUCAAUACACAGAAUCAAGAACAAGUCUAGGAUUCAAACCGGCCAAACAAUAUCCCCAACAAACCACAAUUAAAAGGAUUCAAGAAAAACGACAAAUGGACUCAUAGAAAAUCUAAAACCAGGUAAACAACUUUAUUAAAUUGAGACCGCCUAAUGUAAAACUAAUUUUAACCUUCAGUACCAAACUUAAAAAAAAGGUUGUAACAUUAACUUGAAAACCUGUGAUCCUGUCAAUUUCAGUUUAAAAAUAUGUAAAUAUCCAUACAAUAUUUUCAUAUAUAUAUAUAUACAUACACAUAUACAUAUAUAUACACAUAUACACAUAUAUAUAU
Long non-coding RNA from Leptopilina boulardi, 2108 nucleotides. RefSeq lists it as uncharacterized. Lineage: Eukaryota; Metazoa; Arthropoda; Insecta; Hymenoptera; Figitidae. The transcript is spliced from 4 exons. The record is from RefSeq and is a predicted model, not a curated record.